AUGUGGAGCCGUAGCGAAAGCGAGUCUGAAUAGGGCGUUGAGUAUUUGGUCGUAGACCCGAAACCAGGUGAUCUACCCAUGGUCAGGUUGAAGUUCAGGUAACACUGAAUGGAGGACCGAACCGACUUACGUUGAAAAGUGAGCGGAUGAACUGUGGGUAGCGGAGAAAUUCCAAUCGAACUUGGAGAUAGCUGGUUCUCUCCGAAAUAGCUUUAGGGCUAGCCUCAAGUGAUGAUUAUUGGAGGUAGAGCACUGUUUGGACGAGGGGCCCCUCUCGGGUUACCGAAUUCAGACAAACUCCGAAUGCCAAUUAAUUUAACUUGGGAGUCAGAACAUGGGUGAUAAGGUCCGUGUUCGAAAGGGAAACAGCCCAGACCACCAGCUAAGGUCCCAAAAUAUCUGUUACGUGGAAAAGGAUGUGGCGUUGCCCAGACAACCAGGAUGUUGGCUUAGAAGCAGCCAUCAUUUAAAGUGUGCGUAAUAGCUCACUAGUCGAGUGACACUGCGCCGAAAAUGUACCGGGGCUAAACAUAUUACCGAAGCUGUGGAUUGUCCGUAGGACAAUGGUAGGAGAGCGUUCUAAGGGCGUUGAAGCAUGAUCGCAAGGACAUGUGGAGCGCUUAGAAGUGAGAAUGCCGGUGUGAGUAGCGAAAGACGGGUGAGAAUCCCGUCCACCGAUUGACUAAGGUUUCCAGAGGAAGGCUCGUCCGCUCUGGGUUAGUCGGGUCCUAAGCUGAGGCCGACAGGCGUAGGCGAUGGAUAACAGGUUGAUAUUCCUGUACCACCUAGCAUCGUUUUAAUCGAUGGGGGGACGCAGUAGGAUAGGCGAAGCGUACGAUUGGAUUGUACGUCCAAGCAGUGGGAUUGAGUGUUAGGCAAAUCCGGCACUCUUAAGAUUGAGCUGUGAUGGGGAGAGGAAAUUGUUUCCUCGAGUCGUUGAUUUCACACUGCCGAGAAAAGCCUCUAGAUAGAUAAUAGGUGCCCGUACCGCAAACCGACACAGGUAGUCAAGAUGAGAAUUCUAAGGUGAGCGAGCGAACUCUCGUUAAGGAACUCGGCAAAAUGACCCCGUAACUUCGGGAGAAGGGGUGCUCUUUAGGUUGCAAGCCCAGAAGAGCCGCAGUGAAUAGGCCCAAGCGACUGUUUAUCAAAAACACAGGUCUCUGCUAAACCGUAAGGUGAUGUAUAGUGGCUGACGCCUGCCCGGUGCUGGAAGGUUAAGAGGAGU
RNAcentral lists this ribosomal RNA (1228 nucleotides) under Staphylococcus haemolyticus. RNAcentral describes it as "bacterial LSU rRNA". It matches the Rfam family "Bacterial large subunit ribosomal RNA", at positions 658 to 1887 of the family's 2925-position model. Lineage: Bacteria; Bacillati; Bacillota; Bacilli; Caryophanales; Staphylococcaceae. The record is from RNAcentral.